GGGGCCAGGGGGGCUAUCUGCAGUCGAGCGGACAGAUGGGAGCUUGCUCCCUGAUGUUAGCGGCGGACGGGUGAGUAACACGUGGGUAACCUGCCUGUAAGACUGGGAUAACUCCGGGAAACCGGGGCUAAUACCGGAUGGUUGUUUGAACCGCAUGGUUCAAACAUAAAAGGUGGCUUCGGCUACCACUUACAGAUGGACCCGCGGCGCAUUAGCUAGUUGGUGAGGUAACGGCUCACCAAGGCAACGAUGCGUAGCCGACCUGAGAGGGUGAUCGGCCACACUGGGACUGAGACACGGCCCAGACUCCUACGGGAGGCAGCAGUAGGGAAUCUUCCGCAAUGGACGAAAGUCUGACGGAGCAACGCCGCGUGAGUGAUGAAGGUUUUCGGAUCGUAAAGCUCUGUUGUUAGGGAAGAACAAGUACCGUUCGAAUAGGGCGGUACCUUGACGGUACCUAACCAGAAAGCCACGGCUAACUACGUGCCAGCAGCCGCGGUAAUACGUAGGUGGCAAGCGUUGUCCGGAAUUAUUGGGCGUAAAGGGCUCGCAGGCGGUUUCUUAAGUCUGAUGUGAAAGCCCCCGGCUCAACCGGGGAGGGUCAUUGGAAACUGGGGAACUUGAGUGCAGAAGAGGAGAGUGGAAUUCCACGUGUAGCGGUGAAAUGCGUAGAGAUGUGGAGGAACACCAGUGGCGAAGGCCACUCUCUGGUCUGUAACUGACCCUGAGGAACGCAAGCGUGGGGAGCCAACAAGAUUAAAUACCCUGGUACUCCACGCCGUAAACCAUGAGUGCUAAAUGUUAAGGGGUUUUCGCCCCCUAAUGGUGCACCUAACCCAUUAACACUCCCCCCGGGGGAGAACCGCCCCAAGACUGAAACCCACAAGAAUUUUACGGGGGCCCCCCCAAACCGUGGGAGAAUGGGGUUUA
This 930-nucleotide ribosomal RNA is filed under the name Bacillus subtilis. Its description in RNAcentral is "bacterial SSU rRNA". It matches the Rfam family "Bacterial small subunit ribosomal RNA", at positions 39 to 948 of the family's 1533-position model. Lineage: Bacteria; Bacillati; Bacillota; Bacilli; Caryophanales; Bacillaceae. The record is from RNAcentral.